AGCGAACGCUGGCGGCAGGCUUAACACAUGCAAGUCGAGCGGACCUUUCGGGGUCAGCGGCGGACGGGUGAGUAACGCGUGGGAACGUGCCUUCCGGUUCGGAAUAACCCUGGGAAACUAGGGCUAAUACCGGAUACGCCCUUAUGGGGUAAGGUUUACUGCCGGAUGAUCGGCCCGCGUCUGAUUAGCUAGUUGGUGGGGUAACGGCCUACCAAGGCGACGAUCAGUAGCUGGUCUGAGAGGAUGAUCAGCCACACUGGGACUGAGACACGGACCAGACUCCGACGGGAGGCAGCAGUGGGGAAUAUUGGACAAUGGGCGCAAGCCUGAUCCAGCCAUGCCGCGUGAGUGAUGAAGGCCGUAGGGUUGUAAAGCUCUUUUAUACGGGACGAUAAUGACGGUACCGGAGGAAUAAGCCCCGGCUAACUUCGUG
RNAcentral lists this ribosomal RNA (433 nucleotides) under uncultured bacterium. RNAcentral's name for it is "partial 16S ribosomal RNA". It matches the Rfam family "Bacterial small subunit ribosomal RNA", at positions 29 to 507 of the family's 1533-position model. The record is from RNAcentral.